Parelaphostrongylus tenuis is the source of this 73-nucleotide non-coding RNA. Lineage: Eukaryota; Metazoa; Nematoda; Chromadorea; Rhabditida; Metastrongylidae. The record is from the annotation of a GenBank genome assembly.
GCCUCGGUGGUGUAGUGGUAGAGCACGCGUCCCCGGAUACGAUGAAACACGGUUUUGGUUCCCGCCUGAGGCC